ACUUCCGCCCUCUGAGGUUGGCAUCAUGGCCAGGAGAGCAACAGUGAGCACAGCACAUCCAGGGAGCAGUAAGAACGGAACGGAUAGGAGGAUACGUAAAAUGAAGGGCGAGGGGCCAAAGAACAGCGCGUACAAACGAUAGGUGCAGUGCUUGUCACACUUUUACCACAGCAGGACCAGGCCAAGUAUGUGAUACCACCGGAGCAAGACAUUUGAAAAAAAGCAGCAAAGGCAAAAAAAUUGUAGCCUCAGGUCUUCAAUUUCUCAAAAACCUUCUUCAUUUGCUGUGUGAGCCCCACCCAGCUACAUUGGGGAGUAUCUGGAGCAGUUGGCAGAGCCCCAAUGUGUAGCUCUGGAAGGGAUGAUGGCUUACCCGCUCCACUACCAGUAGCCACAGGAGGCAAAGGUGUCCUCCUCCUGACCGUGACUCGGGCUGACCUUCCGCUGUGGAUCCCGCUGUCUGACCGUCCGCUGUCUGACCGUCCUCUGUGGAUCCCGCUGUCUGUGCCUGCUCUGCUGGGGGAAGUGGGAAGCGCAUCGGGAUGAGCAUGCGGCAGGCUGGCUCCGAACCAUCCACUGGAGCGGGGACUGUCUUCUUUAUACUUUAAGUAAACAGAAUUGAAGCAACCUUGGCCUUGGACAGCCGGCUUGUCUCUAAUGACUUUUCUUCAAAACCACAAAUGCAUUUUGUCUCGAUUUGAGGUGCUUCUUGCCUCUCGUCUGGGCAGCCUUAGGGAGGGCGUGAAGCAGCAUCUGGCAGCCUGAAGAUUUCGCCGCAGAUGCUGUGCUUUUGUGAAAAGUCAAUGUCAUUGCAAGCCAGACAAGAGGGCGAAGACGGCACAGGGCUGCAAACCUGUCAGCCAAGGCUGAGAGUCCAGAGAUGGCAGACGGCUGCUCUCAGGGAGGCCCCGUGUCAGAUGGGAAGGACCAGGAGACGCACUUUUAUUGGAAGAAAAUUUAGUGUGGAGGGGAGAUGCUCGACCAGUUAGGAAAAGGAAGAAGAAUAAAAGACCUUUCUUAGCCUCGCUCCCCCGGGGCGAGCAUCCUGAGCCCUGCUUCACCUGUUUUCCAUGCACACUGCUACUGUUGCUUGCAUUUUUUUAAAAGCAGAAACGGACUCCUGUAACACAAACUGUGGGUGACCUACUUUUUAGGAUGUAUCAUGAGCUGUGCUCCUCAUCAUUAAAUGAGCUUCUUUGCCACCAUUUAAUGACUUUAUAGUAACUCUCAUAUGAAUGGAACAUAAUUUAUUUAAGUAAUUUUCUAUUCUUGGAUAUUUAAGCGGUUUCUAAUUUUUCAGUAUCAUGAGCAUCUUCCAAAUGAUUAUCCUAAUGGUUGAAAUUCUGUGCACAUCCUAAUUAUGUCCUUGGGAUACAUUUCUAGCAAAAGUAUCACGAGAAUAAAGGGUGUACAGAGUCUAAAGGAUUUUGAUACAAAUUGUCAAAUUGCUCCCCAGAAGGCUUGUACAGCUUUGUGCUGUUAGUAGCAAAACAUGAGUUGCCUAUUUUCUAGCAAUUUUAUUACCAUUGGUUGUGUUCUUUUUCCUUUAUGAAUUUAAUGACGGCCAGAAAUCAGGAACCUGAGUAACCAGACACAUGAGAUGGGAAUGAUAACAAGGGGCUCUUUUACAGGUCUGUUGUGGCAAUCAACCCGCAUAAUGGAUGUUAUGCAUUUGGAAAGAAAACAGUUCGCAGUCAGGGAGCUUUGUGAAGGAAAGGUAGUUAGGAAGCCAGAUAAAUAAAGGGAUUUACUUUCUCCCUUAAGUAGAAAAUUAGUGUGUAUUUAUAAAAAUUGAGAUAACCCACAGGUCUAAUGGUAAGAGGUAAAAUCACUUCCUCACCUCCCCCACAGUUCUCUCGCCAGAGGUAGAUGCUUGUAGCUGAUCUUCCCUUGUAUGUAUAUAAACCCUGUGUGUGCAAUCAUGUGCACACAUCCGCAUACACAUGUGUCUGUGCAUUCAUCCAUAUGGUUUUUAAAGAUUUAUUUACUUAUGUGUGUGUGUCUUUGUGAGUGUGCAUGUGUGUGCAAAGGCUAAAAGAGUGUCAGCCUCCUUUAUCACUCUCCACUUAUUUCUUUGAGGCAGGAUCUCUCCCUGAUCCUGGGGCUCUGGUUUUCUCAGCUAAGCUGGAAGCUUGCAAGCCCCACCUCCUGUCUUCACCUCCCUGAGAACAGGGGUUACAGAUGCGUGCAAGUUACUAGGCUUAUUACAUGAAUGCUGGUGUCCAAACUUUGGUCCUCAUGAUUACACAAUUGCGCUCAACCACUGAGUGGUCUCCCCAGCCCCAAUCUACAGUAUUCUGUUACUGGUGUACAUGUGUGUUCAUGGGAGUGUGGGCACACGGGUACAUAACAUAGUUCACAUGUGGAAGUUGGACAAUAGCUUUGGGCGGUCCACCUAACUCGGGCCCUCACACUUGAGCAGCAAACGCUUUACCUACCAAACCAUCUUCGCAUUCUGUGUUGUUCUGAAGACGGGAAGUCAUGCGGGAUUUUAUUUUCAUCUCAGAGCAGCGCCUCCACAGGCUUCCUAACGCCAGCUUGGAUUCCAUUGCUGGCUAAAGCAUCCUCUACUCCUUCUUUCCCCUGGACAGUGUGGUGACAAUUCACUCUCACACCCUUUUUCUCCAGUGCUUAGCUGGUGUUGGAUCUUAAGCAACGGAAUGUUAAUUGGAAGUAGACGGUUGUUCAUCAAAGAGAAGAUGCCAAUGUGUCCCCAGCUCUGGGGCAUGUGGAAGGCUGGGGAUCCUGCACCUGGGAUUUCUGGCUGUGCCCUUCAGUAGCCUCACCUGGGUCAGAAGCAGCUGGUCGCCCACUGAGUCUUUUGACUAUCAGCGUUCUGAGCAACCUACAGGGAAGAAUGGGUCUGUCUCCAGCACAUUUCUUGCUGUCCUCUACCGUAAGGCAAACCACUGAGGAUUCUUUCUCUUGUUAAUUAACUGGGGCUUUAUUAAACACCUUAGCAGCUAGCCAACUGCUCUGACCCAGCCAUUCCUAGGAGACAUUCUGAUGAGAAAUUUUGUGUUCUAAUGGGUACAUAUUUAGUGACAGCUUUUGUGUCAGCGUGUGCGUGUUUAAUUGGAUAUGUCAGUAUCAGUUCAACCUGGUCGUGCAACCUAAUAUUUAUCAGGUUCUUAAUCUCUGCUAGGUACCAGUCCAGAAAUUUAUGUCUAGGAUAAUAAUAAAAAUGAUGGUGAAGAUGCUUA
Molecule: long non-coding RNA, 3203 nt
Organism: Mesocricetus auratus (golden hamster)
Lineage: Eukaryota; Metazoa; Chordata; Mammalia; Rodentia; Cricetidae
Exons: 5
Source: RefSeq, a predicted model, not a curated record